AUGAACGCUGGCGGCAGGCCUAACACAUGCAAGUCGAGCGGAAACGACUUAACUGAACCUUCGGGGAACGUUAAGGGCGUCGAGCGGCGGACGGGUGAGUAAUGCCUAGGAAAUUGCCCUGAUGUGGGGGAUAACCAUUGGAAACGAUGGCUAAUACCGCAUGAUGCCUACGGGCCAAAGAGGGGGACCUUCGGGCCUCUCGCGUCAGGAUAUGCCUAGGUGGGAUUAGCUAGUUGGUGAGGUAAUGGCUCACCAAGGCGACGAUCCCUAGCUGGUCUGAGAGGAUGAUCAGCCACACUGGAACUGAGACACGGUCCAGACUCCUACGGGAGGCAGCAGUGGGGAAUAUUGCACAAUGGGCGCAAGCCUGAUGCAGCCAUGCCGCGUGUGUGAAGAAGGCCUUCGGGUUGUAAAGCACUUUCAGUCGUGAGGAAGGUGGUGUAGUUAAUAGCUGCAUUAUUUGACGUUAGCGACAGAGGAAGCACCGGCUAACUCCGUGCCAGCAGCCGCGGUAAUACGGAGGGUGCGAGCGUUAAUCGGAAUUACUGGGCGUAAAGCGCAUGCAGGUGGUUUGUUAAGUCAGAUGUGAAAGCCCGGGGCUCAACCUCGGAAUAGCAUUUGAAACUGGCAGACUAGAGUACUGUAGAGGGGGGUAGAAUUUCAGGUGUAGCCGGUGAAAUGCGUA
Molecule: ribosomal RNA, 685 nt
Filed under: bacterium S1cc15
Lineage: Bacteria
Description: bacterial SSU rRNA
Rfam family: Bacterial small subunit ribosomal RNA
Source: RNAcentral